UACUCGGCUACGAACCGAGCGGUCGGAGGUUCGAAUCCUCCCGGAUGCACCA
RNAcentral lists this transfer RNA (52 nucleotides) under Citrobacter koseri. It matches the Rfam family "tRNA", at positions 24 to 71 of the family's 71-position model. Rfam says of the family: Transfer RNA (tRNA) molecules are approximately 80 nucleotides in length. The record is from RNAcentral. RNAcentral also lists the same sequence under 5 other names. Lineage: Bacteria; Pseudomonadati; Pseudomonadota; Gammaproteobacteria; Enterobacterales; Enterobacteriaceae.